UUCCUCUUUUUUUUUUUAGGUAGAAAGCAGUCUUUUGGGAAAGAGGGCUAUAGGAGGUCUGCCUAAGGCACCUAACAAAGAACGAAUCGCAAGCUGUCAGAGAAACUGGUUGAAUGCUCCCUCUUUCCCACUUAAGAAAGACUAAAAUAUGUUAAAAAUUAUAGUAGAUCGAACCACUGUGCAAACUGUUCUUGGGAGUAAGUGGUAUAAACAUGCUGAGGCAAUUCCUCCCCUGUGAUUCCUACAAGAUUUAGAAGAAGCAGGUCUGAAUCCAGAGUUACUGAUCAGAGUUACCCUCCUGAUGGCACUGCAGAAACCAGGCAGAUUCACAAGGAGGAGGACAGAGGGGGCAUGUCUAGCAAGAAAGGAGCUGUUCUAAUGGAGAAUUUGCUCUUUUACUGAAAGUAUUUUCUUGUUCAUCUCAUUUGAAAUUGAUGUUUACUAACAGCAUAAGCAGCCAACCUUUGGUCUUCUGUGCUUGAGGUAAGGUAUGCUUUUUCUUUUGUUAUUAAGACAUGGAAUCAGGCAGUCCUUUUGAGCUCCUAAGUAACAAAUGGUUUGCCUUUUUGGCAAAUUGAGACCUCAGAAGGAUGGUCAUGUACUUGCACUUUUUCUGAUGAACUGAAAGUACUUUGCAAUAGUUAGAGCGU
Molecule: long non-coding RNA, 650 nt
Filed under: Struthio camelus australis
Lineage: Eukaryota; Metazoa; Chordata; Aves; Struthioniformes; Struthionidae
Description: lncRNA (ENSSCUG00000000332.1)
Source: RNAcentral